GUCGAACGCUGGCGGCGUGCUUAACACAUGCAAGUCGAACGGAAAGGCCCUGCUUUUGUGGGGUGCUCGAGUGGCGAACGGGUGAGUAACACGUGAGUAACCUGCCCUUGACUUUGGGAUAACUUCAGGAAACUGGGGCUAAUACCGGAUAGGAGCUCCUGCUGCAUGGUGGGGGUUGGAAAGUUUGGGCGGAUGGGGAUGGACUCGGGGCUUAUCAGCUUGUUGGUGGGGUAGUGGCUUACCAAGGCUUUGACGGGUAGCCGGCCUGAGAGGGUGACCGGCCACAUUGGGACUGAGAUACGGCCCAGACUCCUACGGGAGGCAGCAGUGGAGAAUAUUGCACAAUGGGCGGAAGCCGGAUGCAGCAACGCCGCGUGCGGGAUGACGUCCUGCGGGUUGUAAACCGCUUUCGCCUGUGACGAAGCGUGAGUGACGGUAAUGGGGAAAGAAGCACCGGCGAACUACGU
RNAcentral lists this ribosomal RNA (467 nucleotides) under uncultured bacterium. RNAcentral describes it as "partial 16S ribosomal RNA". It matches the Rfam family "Bacterial small subunit ribosomal RNA", at positions 28 to 506 of the family's 1533-position model. The record is from RNAcentral.